This 23-nucleotide non-coding RNA is filed under the name Arabidopsis thaliana (thale cress). Lineage: Eukaryota; Viridiplantae; Streptophyta; Magnoliopsida; Brassicales; Brassicaceae. The record is from RNAcentral.
UUCGGCCUUCAAAGUUCUCAUUU